CACGGAGUUAGCCGGUGCUUAUUCAACCGGUACCGUCGAUUUCCCUCGCAAGGGCUUUUCUUCCCGGUCAAAAGACGUUUACAACCCAGAAGGCCUUCAUCCGUCACGCGGCAUGGCUGGGUCAGGCUCGCGCCCAUUGCCCAAUAUUCCCUACUGCUGCCUCCCGUAGGAGUCUGGCCCGUAUCUCAGUGCCAGUGUGGGGGAUCGGCCUCUCAGCUCCCCUAGCCAUCGUCGCCUUGGUGCGCCGUUACCGCACCAACUAGCUAAUGGCACGCAGGCUCAUCUACUCCCGAAAUUCUUUAGCUGUUAGGUGAUGCCACCUGCAGCGUUAUGCGGUAUUAAUCCACCUUUCGGCGGGCUAUCCCCCAGGACGUAGGCAGAUUGCCUACGCGUUACGCACCCGUGCGCCACUGGAGUAUUGCUACCCCGUUCGACUUGCAUGUAUUAGGCCUUGCCGCUAGCGUUCAUCCUGAGCCAGGAUCAAACUCU
Molecule: ribosomal RNA, 489 nt
Filed under: uncultured Hymenobacter sp.
Lineage: Bacteria; Pseudomonadati; Bacteroidota; Cytophagia; Cytophagales; Hymenobacteraceae
Description: partial 16S ribosomal RNA
Source: RNAcentral